AAAAUAAUGACAUUUCUGCCCUUACAAGUAAUUCCUUCAUUUUAUUGCUUGUAGGAAGGAGCUGUAAUAUGAAGUGAAGGAAAACUGCUUCACCACUUUAACCUCGCACAGUCUGAGAAAGAAAUUACAAAGAAAACGAACCUAUUCCUAAGCCAAUAACCCACCUUGUACCUACCACUUCCAUGAACAAAACCCUCUUCCCAAUGUGCUUUUGAAGCCACUUGCACAAUGGACAAUGGGGAGUGUACUGUCAGUUAAUGUACAAGGCUCUGUCACCACUCCUGAAGAAGUGAGGGAAUCAGUUGUUACUGGUGGAGACCAACACACAAUGUGUGAAUGGGAAGAACUUGCUUGCAUUGUUUUCUGCCUAGGUAUACCACUGUUUCCACAGUAAUUUCCAUUUUAAGUGUAGAGGUAUUUUCUUAAUAUAAUCUUUAAAAAGCAUCAACUUAAAAACACAUUUUGCAUUUAUAAUUAGAAGACACAUUUUAUUCCAGAAUUGGCCAGAAACAUGGGUAAUAACUUCUCAGUGUUACUGCAGGUCAGCAAUAACAGGAUUUGGAUCAGCAAAACUCUGUUGCUUACAUACUUCAUGGAAAACCAUCCAUUUUCUCUUCUGCUAAGUGGGAAGAAUUACUUUAUAUGUCUAGAGAUAGAAAAAAACCACGUGAAAGCAGCAUAUGUGUGCUCCAUCUCUUCAAUUUCUAGAGGUUUCUGA
Molecule: long non-coding RNA, 718 nt
Filed under: Numida meleagris (helmeted guineafowl)
Lineage: Eukaryota; Metazoa; Chordata; Aves; Galliformes; Numididae
Description: lncRNA (ENSNMEG00000021983.1)
Source: RNAcentral